UUCCAGCUGACGAAUCUCAAAUAGGACGAAACACGCGCCCUGGAU
Molecule: non-coding RNA, 45 nt
Filed under: Schistosoma mansoni
Lineage: Eukaryota; Metazoa; Platyhelminthes; Trematoda; Strigeidida; Schistosomatidae
Source: RNAcentral